This 675-nucleotide ribosomal RNA is filed under the name uncultured organism. Its description in RNAcentral is "bacterial SSU rRNA". It matches the Rfam family "Bacterial small subunit ribosomal RNA", at positions 112 to 824 of the family's 1533-position model. The record is from RNAcentral.
AACGCGUGGCAACGUGCCCUUCCCUACGGAAUAGAAAUUAUUCACGGGGGUUUUGCUGAUACUUCCUUACUAGGGGGACAUAACGCCUGUGAACGAGUUGCCCACUCCUGUCUAAACAGUUGGCGGCUUUACGGCCUACCUCCCCUACGAUCCUUUGCUGGUUUGAGAGGAUGAUCAUGUACCCUGGGACUGAUCCCCGACUUAGACUUUUACGGGAGGCAGCACGGGCCAAUCUUCCACAAUGGGGGCAACCCUUGUCUACUUAUGCUGCGUGAGUGAUGCUGCCCUAGGGUCGUAAAGUUCUUUUCCAGGGAAGAUAAUGACGGUACCUGGAGAAGAAACCUCGGCUAACUCCGUGCCCGCCGCCGCGGUAAUACGGAGGGGGUUAGCGUUGUUCGGAAUUACUGGGCGUAAAGCGCGCGUAGGCAGACUGUUAAGUUAGGGGUGAAAUCCCGGGGCUCUACCCCGGAACUGCCCUUGAUACUGGCAGUCUCUAGUUCCAGAGAGGUGAGUGGAACUCCUAGUGUAGACGUGAAAUUCGUAGAUAUUCAGAAGAACACUAGUGGCGAAUGCGUCUCACUGGCUCGAUACUGACUCUGAGGUGCGAAAAUGUGGGGAGCAAACAGGAUUAGAUACCCUGCUAGUCCACACCGUAAACGAUGAAUGCCUGACGUC